GACGAACGCUGGCGGCGUGCCUAAUACAUGCAAGUAGAACGCACAGUUUAUACCGUAGCUUGCUACACCAUAAACUGUGAGUUGCGAACGGGUGAGUAACGCGUAGGUAACCUGCCUGGUAGCGGGGGAUAACUAUUGGAAACGAUAGCUAAUACCGCAUAAUAUUAAUUAUUGCAUGAUAAUUGAUUGAAAGAUGCAAUUGCAUCACUACCAGAUGGACCUGCGUUGUAUUAGCUAGUAGGUGAGGUAACGGCUCACCUAGGCGACGAUACAUAGCCGACCUGGGAGGGUGAUCGGCCACACUGGGACUGAGACACGGCCCAGACUCCUACGGGAGGCAGCAGUAGGGAAUCUUCGGCAAUGGACGAAAGUCUGACCGAGCAACGCCGCGUGAGUGAAGAAGGUUUUCGGAUCGUAAAGCUCGGUUGUAAGAGAAGAACGGGUGUGAGAGUGGAAAGUUCACACUGUGACGGUAUCUUACCAGAAAGGGACGGCUAACUACGUG
This 505-nucleotide ribosomal RNA is filed under the name uncultured bacterium. RNAcentral's name for it is "partial 16S ribosomal RNA". It matches the Rfam family "Bacterial small subunit ribosomal RNA", at positions 28 to 507 of the family's 1533-position model. The record is from RNAcentral.